This 845-nucleotide ribosomal RNA is filed under the name Chromohalobacter sp. YCWA9. RNAcentral describes it as "bacterial SSU rRNA". It matches the Rfam family "Bacterial small subunit ribosomal RNA", at positions 372 to 1216 of the family's 1533-position model. Lineage: Bacteria; Pseudomonadati; Pseudomonadota; Gammaproteobacteria; Oceanospirillales; Halomonadaceae. The record is from RNAcentral.
UGGGGGAACCCUGAUCCAGCCAUGCCGCGUGUGUGAAGAAGGCCCUAGGGUUGUAAAGCACUUUCAGUGGGGAAGAAGGCAUGACGAUUAAUACCCGUCAUGAAGGACAUCACCCACAGAAGAAGCACCGGCUAACUCCGUGCCAGCAGCCGCGGUAAUACGGAGGGUGCAAGCGUUAAUCGGAAUUACUGGGCGUAAAGGGCGCGUAGGCGGCUUGCCAAGCCGGAUGUGAAAGCCCCGGGCUCAACCCGGGAACGGCAUUCGGAACUGGCAGGCUAGAGUGCAGGAGAGGAAGGUGGAAUUCCCGGUGUAGCGGUGAAAUGCGUAGAGAUCGGGAGGAAUACCAGUGGCGAAGGCGGCCUUCUGGACUGACACUGACGCUGAGGCGCGAAAGCGUGGGUAGCAAACAGGAUUAGAUACCCUGGUAGUCCACGCCGUAAACGAUGUCGACCAGCCGUUGGACCCCUUGAGGGUUUGGUGGCGCAGUUAACGCAAUAAGUCGACCGCCUGGGGAGUACGGCCGCAAGGCUAAAACUCAAAUGAAUUGACGGGGGCCCGCACAAGCGGUGGAGCAUGUGGUUUAAUUCGAUGCAACGCGAAGAACCUUACCUGCUCUUGACAUCCUGCGAAUCUCCCAGAGAUGGGAGAGUGCCUUCGGGAGCGCAGAGACAGGUGCUGCAUGGCUGUCGUCAGCUCGUGUUGUGAAAUGUUGGGUUAAGUCCCGUAACGAGCGCAACACCUAUCCCUUUUUGCCGCGUUCUGGCCGGGAUCUUCAGGUAGACUGCCGCUGACAGGUGUAGGGAGGUGCUUAUGCGUUAAGUCGACUGCUGGUGAGAGUCGCGUUC